Molecule: ribosomal RNA, 292 nt
Filed under: uncultured bacterium
Lineage: Bacteria
Also listed under: 1 other name
Description: partial 16S ribosomal RNA
Source: RNAcentral
GGACUACUCGGGUAUCUAAUCCUGUUUGCUCCCCACGCUUUCGUGCCUCAGUGUCAGUGCUGGUCCAGGGUGUCGCCUUCGCCACAGAUGUUCCUCCCGAUAUCUACGCAUUUCACUGCUACACCGGGAAUUCCACACCCCUCUACCGCACUCUAGGUCGCCAGUAUCCAAUGCCAUUCCCAGGUUGAGCCCAGGGCUUUCACAUCAGACUUAACGAACCACCUACGCACGCUUUACGCCCAGUAAUUCCGAGUAACGCUUGCACCCUUCGUAUUACCGCGGCUGCUGGCAC